RNAcentral lists this ribosomal RNA (497 nucleotides) under uncultured bacterium. RNAcentral's name for it is "partial 16S ribosomal RNA". It matches the Rfam family "Bacterial small subunit ribosomal RNA", at positions 28 to 507 of the family's 1533-position model. The record is from RNAcentral.
GAUGAACGCUGGCGGCGUGCCUAACACAUGCAAGUCGAGCGGACGGACGCGAAGCUUUCUUGUCUGAUGUUGGCGGCGGACGGGGGGGUAACACGUGGAUAACCUACCUAUAAGACUGGGAUAACUUCGGGAAACCGUAGCUAAUACCGGAUAAUAUUUUGAACCGCAUGGUUCGACAGUGAAAGACGGUCUUGCUGUCACUUAUAGAUGGAUCCGCGCUGCAUUAGCUAGUUGGUAAGGUAACGGCUUACCAAGGCAACGAUGCAUAGCCGACCUGAGAGGGUGAUCGGCCACACUGGAACUGAGACACGGUCCAGACUCCUACGGGAGGCAGCAGUAGGGAAUCUUCCGCAAUGGGCGAAAGCCUGACGGAGCAACGCCGCGUGAGUGAUGAAGGUCUUCGGAUCGUAAAACUCUGUUAUUAGGGAAGAACAUAUGUGUAAGUAAUUGUGCAGAUCUUGACGGUACCUAAUCAGAAAGCCACGGCUAACUACGUG